UAAGGAAUAUUGCACAAUGGGGGAAACCCUGAUGCAGCAACGCCGCGUGAGUGAUGAAGGCCUUCGGGUUGUAAAACUCUUUUCUGCGGGAUGAGGAAGGACAGUACCGCAGGAAUAAGUCUCGGCUAACCACGUGCCAGCAGCCGCGGUAAGACGUAGGAGGCAAGCGUUAUCCGGAUUCAUUGGGCGUAAAGGGCAAGUAGGCGGUGGCCAAAGUUGGGCGUGACAAUUCCCGGCUUAACUGGGAAGGGUCGUUCAAAACUAGGUCACUAGAGAGCAGGAGAGGGAGGCGGAAUUCCGAGUGUAGCGGUGGAAUGCUCAGAUACUCGGAGGAACACCCGUGGCGAAAGCGGCCUUCUGGCCUGUGUCUGACGCUGAGAGGCGAAAGCUAGGGGAGCAAACGG
RNAcentral lists this ribosomal RNA (404 nucleotides) under uncultured bacterium. Its description in RNAcentral is "bacterial SSU rRNA". It matches the Rfam family "Bacterial small subunit ribosomal RNA", at positions 355 to 775 of the family's 1533-position model. The record is from RNAcentral.